ACGGGUGAGUAAUCGUAAAGAACCUGCCUCAUAGACUGGGAUACUGUUGGAAACGAUAGCUAAUACCGGAUAACAGCAUUAGCUGCAUGGUUGAUGUUUAAAAGUUGGUUUUGCUAACACUAUGAGAUGGCUUUGCGGUGUAUUAGCUAGUUGGUGGGGUAAAGGCCUACCAAGGCGACGAUGCAUACCCGACCUGAUAGGGUGAUCGGCCGCACUGGAACUGAGACCCGGACCCCACUCCUACGGGAGGCAGCAGUAUGGAAUCUUCCGCAAUGGGCGAAAGCCUGACGGAGCCACGCCGCGUGAGUGAGGAAGGAUUUCGGUUCGUAAAGCUCUGUUGUUAGGGAAAAAUGAUUGUGUAAUAACUAUACACGGUACAGACUGUACCUAACCAGAAAGCCACGGCUAACUACGUGCCACCACCCGCGGUAAUACGUACGUGGCAAGCGUUGUCCGGAAUUAUUGGGCGUAAAGCGCGCGCAGGUGGUUUAAUAAGUCUGAUGUGAAAGCCCACGGCUCAUCCGUGGAGGGUCAUUGUGAACUGUUAAACUUGAGUGCAGGAGAGAGAAGUGCAAUGUCUAGUGUAGCGGUGAAAUGCGUAGAGAUUAAGAGGAACACCAGUGGCCAACGCGGUUUUUUGUCCUGGAACUGACACUGAGGCGCGAAAGCGUGGGGAGCAGACUAGAUUAGAUACCCUGCUACUCCACGCCCUAUAC
RNAcentral lists this ribosomal RNA (716 nucleotides) under uncultured bacterium. Its description in RNAcentral is "bacterial SSU rRNA". It matches the Rfam family "Bacterial small subunit ribosomal RNA", at positions 102 to 807 of the family's 1533-position model. The record is from RNAcentral.